Molecule: transfer RNA, 91 nt
Filed under: Xylaria longipes
Lineage: Eukaryota; Fungi; Ascomycota; Sordariomycetes; Xylariales; Xylariaceae
Description: tRNA-Phe
Rfam family: tRNA
About the family: Transfer RNA (tRNA) molecules are approximately 80 nucleotides in length. Their secondary structure includes four short double-helical elements and three loops (D, anti-codon, and T loops).
Source: RNAcentral
GCGGGGAUAGCUCAGCUGGGAGAGCGUCAGACUGAAGUCCAACUUCAAUCAUAUAAUCUGAAGGCCGUGCGUUCGAUCCGCACUCACCGCA